GGGGCAGUAGCUCNNGCGUCGUUCGCAAUGACGAGGUCAGGGGUUCGAUCCCCCUCUGCUCCACCA
RNAcentral lists this transfer RNA (66 nucleotides) under Gemmobacter sp. RNAcentral describes it as "tRNA-Ser". It matches the Rfam family "tRNA". From Rfam's summary of the family: Transfer RNA (tRNA) molecules are approximately 80 nucleotides in length. Their secondary structure includes four short double-helical elements and three loops (D, anti-codon, and T loops). Further hydrogen bonds mediate the characteristic L-shaped molecular structure. tRNAs have two regions of fundamental functional importance: the anti-codon, which is responsible for specific mRNA codon recognition, and the 3' end, to which the tRNAs corresponding amino acid is attached (by aminoacyl-tRNA synthetases). tRNAs cope with the degeneracy of the genetic code in two manners: having more than one tRNA (with a specific anti-codon) for a particular amino acid; and 'wobble' base-pairing, i.e. permitting non-standard base-pairing at the 3rd anti-codon position. Lineage: Bacteria; Pseudomonadati; Pseudomonadota; Alphaproteobacteria; Rhodobacterales; Paracoccaceae. The record is from RNAcentral.